Molecule: ribosomal RNA, 253 nt
Filed under: uncultured bacterium
Lineage: Bacteria
Description: partial 16S ribosomal RNA
Rfam family: Bacterial small subunit ribosomal RNA
Source: RNAcentral
UACGUAGGGGGCUAGCGUUGUCCGGAAUCAUUGGGCGUAAAGAGCGUGUAGGCGGCCCGGUAAGUCCGCUGUGAAAGUCGGGGGCUCAACCCUCGAAUGCCGGUGGAUACUGUCGGGCUAGAGUGCGGAAGAGGCGAGUGGAAUUCCUGGUGUAGCGGUGAAAUGCGCAGAUAUCAGGAAGAACACCCGUGGCUAAGGCGGCUCUCUAGUACGGUACUGACGCUGAGACGCGAAAGCGUGGGGAGCGAACAGG